Molecule: ribosomal RNA, 567 nt
Filed under: uncultured archaeon
Lineage: Archaea
Description: bacterial SSU rRNA
Rfam family: Archaeal small subunit ribosomal RNA
Source: RNAcentral
CGGGGUGCAGCAGGCGCGAAAACUUUACAAUGCUGGCAACAGCGAUAAGGGGACCUCGAGUGCCAGGAUACAAUCUUGGCUGUCGCGAUGCCUAAAAAGCAUUGCAUAGCAAGGGCCGGGCAAGACCGGUGCCAGCCGCCGCGGUAACACCGGCGGCUCGAGUGGUAACCGCUAUUAUUGGGUCUAAAGGGUCUGUAGCCGGCCGGAUAAGUCUUUUGGGAAAUCCAGCUGCUCAACAGUUGGGCUUUCAGAAGAUACUGUUCGGCUCGAGACCGGGAGAGGUGAGAGGUACUUCAGGGGUAGGGGUGAAAUCUUGUAAUCCUUGAAGGACCACCAGUGGCGAAGGCGUCUCACCAGAACGGAUCUGACGGCAAGGGACGAAAGCUAGGGGCACGAACCGGAUUAGAUACCCGGGUAGUCCUAGCCGUAAACGAUACUCGCUAGGUGUCAGCCACGGUGCGACCGUGGUUGGUGCCGUAGGGAAGCCGUGAAGCGAGCCACCUGGGAAGUACGGCCGCAAGGCUGAAACUUAAAGGAAUUGGCGGGGGAGCACAAGGGCGAAUUCGC